CCUACGGGUGGCAGCAGUAAGGAAUAUUGGUCAAUGGGGGAAACCCUGAAGCAGCAACGCAGCGUGAAGGAUGAAGGUUUUCGGAGUGGAAACUCCUUUUGUUAGAGAAGAAAAUGACGGUAUCUAACGAAUAAGCACCGGCUAACACCGUGCCAGCAGCCGCGGUAAUACGGAGGGUGCAAGCGUUACUCGGAGUCACUGGGCGUAAAGAGGGCGUAGGCGGGUUAGCAAGUCAGAUGUGAAAUCCUAUGGCUUAACCAUAGAACUGCAUUUGAAACUGUUAUUCUAGAGUAGGGGAGAGGUAGGUGGAAUUCUUGGUGUAGGGGUAAAAUCCGUAGAGAUCAAGAGGAAUACUCAUUGCGAAGGCGACCUGCUAGACCAUAACUGACGCUGAUGCGCGAAAGCGUGGGGAGCAAACAGGAUUAGAUACCCCGGUAGUC
Molecule: ribosomal RNA, 440 nt
Filed under: uncultured bacterium
Lineage: Bacteria
Description: partial 16S ribosomal RNA
Rfam family: Bacterial small subunit ribosomal RNA
Source: RNAcentral